GCCCCUCGCCGUGGGCGCAAAGUUCAUAGGACCCCGCGGGAUCCCGCCUAGAGGCUCAUACUCUUCGUUUGUUUCCCGCUGCUCAGCUUAUAGUGACCAAUGCCCAGGGGCCCAAGAACGGCGUGGGCCCUAGCGCCCGGGCUUGGCGGGGGAACUUGACCCUGGCGGGAAGGGAGCAGGACCGCCGGACGCCCGGAGAGACGAGAGCCACCUGGGAGUGGCCUGGAGGGCAUGUGAUGGGGUGUAAACUGGACACUCAGAGCGAUGAGAUGCCCAUUAUGAGACAUGGAAUCUUCUUUGAAACGAUUGGGAAGUAGUAUAAAAAGCACUCCGGGGCUGCCCUGGUGGCCGAGACUUCCCUGGUGGCGCAGUGGUUGAAAAUCUGCCUGCUAAUACAGGGGACAAGGGUUCGAGCCCUGGUCUGGGAGGAUCCCACAUGCCCCGGAGCAACUAGGCCCGUGAGCCACAACUACUGAGCCUGCGCGUCUGGAGCAGGUGCUCCGCAACAAGAGAGGCCGCGACAGUGAGAGGCCCGCGCGCUGCGAUGAAGAGUGACUCCCGCUUGCCACAACUAGAGAAAGCCCUCGCACAGAAACGAAGACCCAACACAGCAAAAAUAAAUUAAUUAAUUAAUAAACUCCUACCCCCAACAUCUUCUUAAAAAAAAAAAAAAGCACUCUGUGUCUGAGAGAUCCUGGUGAUUUGACCUUAGACAAAUAACUUAAUUACUUCUAGUUUGUUUCCAUAACUGUAAAUGGAGCCAACAAUACCUGGUAAAGCUAUUACAGUUGUGAGGAUGAGAUGAUAUAUGUGAUCAUGUUUUGUAAACUAUAAAGCAAGAGUAACCAGAAAUUAGUUACUAUUUUAUAUAAUACUGUCCUAACAUUUCCUGCCUAUGUCCCUGUCUGUAAAAUGGGUACAGAUCUAGGUCCAAAAGCCUGUGAACUUGAGCAAGUCAUUUCCUUUCUGGACGUGUGUUUCCUAGCAAGGUUAUUAUUACAUUAUGAAGAUCAAAUGAUAUCGUGUAUGUAAAUGCUGUGACAGGCAUAUAUCAAGAAUGCAAUAAAUGAUAGCUGUUAUUACUCUCUGAGGGUAGGAUUGUAAGGAUCAAACAAUAUUAUAUCUACUUAAAAGGCUUUGAAUAUAUAUUUAAAUUCUGUACACAUCCAAGGUAUUGUUAUUUGUACUGUAAACUGCAAAGACGUACAUGGAACGAGGAAACAA
Molecule: long non-coding RNA, 1224 nt
Organism: Orcinus orca (killer whale)
Lineage: Eukaryota; Metazoa; Chordata; Mammalia; Artiodactyla; Delphinidae
Exons: 3
Source: RefSeq, a predicted model, not a curated record